AGAGCUCACAAAAAGCACGCGCAUUUUUUGCGGUCCAGAGCCGUAGGAGAAACACAAGUUAACUCAGAGAUACAGACUGAUGCGACAAAACCAUCUCAGAUCAGCACAGCCCUGCCCUCCAGCACGAUCAGCAGCAGGAGCAGCAGAAACCCCUCAACAGCAACAUUGUACCCAUCAGCAACAUGAGGCAGCUCGUGUAUCGGAUGUUACCAAACGAAGGCGUCUAGCCUGGAUAGCAGCUGUGAGACGAGCUGAUGUGCAGUUCGCUUCCAUCUCCAAAUAUCUGUUGGUGCUCCAGACAUUUUCAUUCCGCAAACCAGCCUAUGAAAUGGAU
Molecule: long non-coding RNA, 334 nt
Organism: Astatotilapia calliptera (eastern happy)
Lineage: Eukaryota; Metazoa; Chordata; Actinopteri; Cichliformes; Cichlidae
Source: Ensembl